CCUACGGGGGGCAGCAGUGAGGAAUAUUGGUCAAUGGACGCAAGUCUGAACCAGCCAUGCCGCGUGCAGGAAGACGGCUCUAUGAGUUGUAAACUGCGUUUGUACGAGGGUAAACGCAGAUACGCGUAUCUGUCUGAAAGUAUCGUACGAAUAAGGAUCGGCUAACUCCGUGCCAGCAGCCGCGGUAAUACGGAGGAUUCAAGCGUUAUCCUGAUUUAUUGGGUUUAAAGGGUGCGUAGGCGGACGGAAAAGUUAGGGGGGAAAUCCCGAGGCUCAAAUUCGGACUUGUCUCUGAUACUGUGCGGCUAGAGAGUAGUUGCGGUAGGCGGAAUGUAUGGUGUAGCGGUGAAAUGCUUAGAGAUCAUACAGAACACCAAUUGCGAAGGCGACUUACCGAGCUACUUCUGACGUUGAGGCACGAAAGCGUGGGGAGCAAACAGGAUUAGAUACCCCAGUAGUC
Molecule: ribosomal RNA, 460 nt
Filed under: uncultured bacterium
Lineage: Bacteria
Description: partial 16S ribosomal RNA
Rfam family: Bacterial small subunit ribosomal RNA
Source: RNAcentral